Molecule: small nucleolar RNA, 138 nt
Organism: Astatotilapia calliptera (eastern happy)
Lineage: Eukaryota; Metazoa; Chordata; Actinopteri; Cichliformes; Cichlidae
Product: small nucleolar RNA SNORA29
Source: Ensembl
AAUCCCAUUUUAGUACCGUCCACUCGUACUACAAUGAAUGGAGGGUUAUGCUAAUGGGAUAGAAAAACUCUGUCAUGGUCUGAAGGUGUGGCGAGCUGAAUGUGCGCCUCUCUGAAUGAAAUGACAGCAUAUCCCUCU